UAUAUUAUAUAUAUGAAAAUCAUGAUCAAAUGUUACACAAAGAUUCGGCAAAAAAAUAACAGCAAAAUUGUCCUAGAGUCCUAUCAGGAUAAUAGCUUUUCCAACAGAUGCAUCAAAUGGAAAAGGAGAACAUAGGACACAUUGCCUUUCAAAGGAAUAAAACAAAAGGAUACAAAAAAGAAGGUAAAACUCUAUUCGAGAAUUCAGACACCCAUACAAAAGUUUAAACACCAAGGUUAUCAGGACACAAGUGUGACCACAAAUUGCUACCAAUAUCUAAAAGAUGUUACGGAAUUUUACAACUCAUCUAACUGUUUACUCAACAUGGAAGGAUCUGGGUAACAUGGUUAAAGAAUGUUAACUUAAUAAGCUACUUGAUCUCAAUUAUACCCACUGGAAAAUAACAUACCAUGCUUAACUUUGUGAGGAAAAUUAACGACAAAAGAAAAAGAAGGACCAGAUCAGAAAUUGUACUAUUGUCAAGCUUCCUCAGAGAUAGGUAUUAAGGAGAAUGUUACAAAGGUUUAUCAUGUAAAAUCUUUGAGGAAAACAGACCAAAAUUACUUGAUCCAUCAUGUAAAAUCUUUGAGGAAAACAGACCAAAAUUACUUGAUCCCUAAUGACAUCAUCUUUUCCCUACCAGCUCCAUUACCUCAUUAGUUUUUUUUCUCAUAGCAAACACAAGCAUUUGUCAAUAUGUUGUCCAACCAAAGGAGUCUUAGAAAUUAUACCACAAGACAUAAAUUGUUUUGAUCUCUUUAAAAUCGAAAUUCCUUCAUUAAAAAAGGAACACUUGCAAGCAAAUGAUCCUCAGAUAGCUUAAGGAAGAGACCCUUCCAUAGCAUUUUAAUAGGACAACAAAAAUUAAAGGUGAAAUUGAUCUCAUAAAUCAUCAAGAAGGCCCCAAAUCCAUCAGUAUUUGGAGACCUCCUUCAACGUUAAGCCUUAAAAGUCAGCUCCUCCAAACAUUACUUAGUCUAUGUGUCCAACAAGAUUUGAGGGUGGGUGUGGGAUAUGCACCACAAUUUGUCAACUCACCUAGCAUGUGUUGACAACAGCUAUGUCUGAGACACACUGGUGGCUUGGAUUUUUGGAUUUAUAAAUAGUUACAUAUUUUUAAUUGCAAUAUAUGAACACACACCCACACGCACAAUAGGUACAUCUGAAAAGCUUAAACAUUGUAUGAGAUAUACAAAUAAAAUAAUUUGUACUUCAAAAGAACUUAUUUAUACUUGCAUCUCAAUUUAAUACUGCAACCUAUAUGUACAUUAUUAGUCAUUCCUAAGCACAUGCACUCCAACAUUGAUCCAUAUUCCUGAAUCCUAAGAUUAGGUAAAAAAGAAUCCAACCUUUAGACGCACCUCGCUACUUAUGUCCAUGAUUCCAUGUAACGGAGUCUGGAAAAUAAUGGGGAGAGUUGUUUUCCUGAGGAAUAACUACAGUUUGUAUAGAAUAUGAUGGGUCACCAUAUUAUAUAAGAUAUGCUGAUAUUCCUCAAGAAGACAGAUCUGGUUCUUAAGUGAAGAAGGGUAUAGGGGCGAACUCAUUAUCCCGAGGCUACAGUUGGUCCUAUAGCUUGGCUCCAGACGGAUUUUUUGGUCAUCGAUAAGUAUGUCUGGUGGGGCAAUAGAAGUUAGCUAUUGGUAAGAACAAAUGAAUAUCACGUGCUUUCUCACUUUCUAGUUGGGUGAAUAAACAAUUAGUGAAGGUUUGCACCUAGAUACAAUAAACAAAAAUUGGGUAAAGUUUCAUUGUUUGAGGAUUAUGUCUUGUGUAUACAUCAUUAAAUGAGAUAACUUUAUUUAUCAAAAUUUGAAUGACACUUGUUCAGGACUGAGGCAUAGUUGUUAUUAUUGUAGUAGUGAAGUCUAUAUGAUAGCUAAUCUAAUAACAGACUGCCUUGAUCAAUGUGCUAUUCAUCAACUGAUAAAAUCAACUUGACCAACCUAACAAAAUACUUGCACUCCUCCUCCCUCCCUCCUGUUCAAAAGAAAAAAUGCAAGUGUUCAAUUCCCAAAACACAUUAGGAAGGUUUGGAAGACAAGAUUUAAGAUAAAGGCUAGUAAGUAGCCAAGAGUUGUCGCACAUAGAGUGCGAGAGGUAGAGGUCAUUUAGUAGUCAAUAGUCAUGCAGUCUCUUAUUCUUCGGUGUGUAUAACUACGUGUUGCCCAUUUGCUUUGUAUCUUGUUAUUUUGUUGUCAUAUUUUUCUUCCAAUUCUGCUUUGGUAACAUUUCUUUUAAGCUGAGUAUCUAACGGAAAUCUCCAACUCACAAAGGUAGGGGUAAGGUAUGCGUACAACCUACCACAAACCAUUAAACCCCACUUGUGGAUUUAUACUAGAUAUGUGUGGACAAACUCAACGGGGCUGGAGACAUUGGGAUUUUGUUUGACUUGCAUAUCUUACACAUAAUUCUAGAAGGGAAUAAAAUGCACUACAUAACAAAGUUAGAAUAAAUUUGGCUCGACCGGAGAUGGUUUAAUCUUUAAACAUAAAUAUCAGCUCUUAUCAACAAAAGUUACACUAGACAUUUUGAGAUAUCACAAUAGAAAAUAAACCACAUGGAACUCAAAAGCAACAGCAACAAUACAGCCUUGUUGGAAGCAGAGAGCAAGGGGAUAUUCUACCUUAUCUACAAUCGAACUCCUUCCUGAUUCAAAGUGCAGCAAGAAAGAAGAAAAAUUGUUACUCACCUUGAUCAAUUGCAAACUCCUCAAAUUCGUCAUCGUCUUCGAAUAGAUCCAUCUUCACCUCUUUAGCCGCUGGCUUUGGUUGUUCAGUCG
This is a non-coding RNA of Solanum lycopersicum (tomato), 2782 nucleotides long. The record is from RefSeq and is a predicted model, not a curated record. NCBI's taxonomy places the organism in Eukaryota, Viridiplantae, Streptophyta, Magnoliopsida, Solanales, Solanaceae.